UACCUACGGGACGCAGCAGUGAGGAAUAUUGGUCAAUGGCCGGAAGGCUGAACCAGCCAAGCCGCGGGAGGGAGAAAGGCGCAGAGCGUCGCAGACCUCUUUUGCCGGGGGACAAAAGGCCGGACUCGUCCGGUCCUGAGGGUACCCGGAGAAAAAGCAUCGGCUAACUCCGUGCCAGCAGCCGCGGUAAUACGGAGGAUGCGAGCGUUAUCCGGAUUCAUUGGGUGUAAAGGGUGCGCAGUCGGGCCUUUAAGCCGGCGGAGGA
Molecule: ribosomal RNA, 265 nt
Filed under: uncultured bacterium
Lineage: Bacteria
Description: partial 16S ribosomal RNA
Rfam family: Bacterial small subunit ribosomal RNA
Source: RNAcentral